This 253-nucleotide ribosomal RNA is filed under the name uncultured bacterium. Its description in RNAcentral is "partial 16S ribosomal RNA". It matches the Rfam family "Bacterial small subunit ribosomal RNA", at positions 524 to 776 of the family's 1533-position model. The record is from RNAcentral.
UACGUAGGCAGCGAGCGUUGUUCGGAAUUACUGGGCGUAAAGGGUUUGUAGGGGGCUUGUUAAGUCAGACGUGAAAUCCCUCAGCUUAACUGGGGAACUGCGUCUGAUACUGGCGAGCUUGAGUGCAGGAGAGGAACGCGGAAUUCCAGGUGUAGCGGUGAAAUGCGUAGAUAUCUGGAGGAACACCGGUGGCGAAGGCGGCGUUCUGGACUGCAACUGACACUGAUAAACGAAAGCCAGGGUAGCAAACGGG